UACAGAGGGGGCAAGCGUUAUUCGGAAUUACUGGGCGUAAAGGGCGCGUAGGCGGCCUUCUAAGUCGAACGUGAAAUCCCUGGGCUCAACCCAGGAACUGCGUCCGAUACUGGGAGGCUUGAAUCCGGGAGAGGGAUGCGGAAUUCCAGGUGUAGCGGUGAAAUGCGUAGAUAUCUGGAGGAACACCGGUGGCGAAGGCGGCAUCCUGGACCGGUAUUGACGCUGAGGCGCGAAAGCCAGGGGAGCAAACGGG
This 253-nucleotide ribosomal RNA is filed under the name uncultured bacterium. RNAcentral describes it as "partial 16S ribosomal RNA". It matches the Rfam family "Bacterial small subunit ribosomal RNA", at positions 524 to 776 of the family's 1533-position model. The record is from RNAcentral.